This 325-nucleotide ribosomal RNA is filed under the name uncultured eukaryote. Its description in RNAcentral is "partial 18S ribosomal RNA". It matches the Rfam family "Eukaryotic small subunit ribosomal RNA", at positions 1470 to 1796 of the family's 1831-position model. The record is from RNAcentral.
CCCUUAGAUGUUCUGGGCUGCACGCGCGCUACACUGCUGCAAUUAACGGGUUUUCUGUGCCGAAAGGCUUGGGGAAUCCUUUGAAUAUGCGGCGUGAUGGGGAUAGAAUAUUGUAAUUAUUACUCUUCAACGAGGAAUUCCUAGUAAGCGCGGGUCAGCAGCCCGCGCUGAUUACGUCCCUGCCCUUUGUACACACCGCCCGUCGCUCCUACCGAUUGAAUGGUCCGGUGAAGCGUUCGGACCGUGGCCUUUGGACGGUUCGCCGUCUGUUGGCUGCGGGAAGUUCGUUAAACCUUAUCAUUUAGAGGAAGGAGAAGUCGUAACA